AAGCGCUUGUGACCAGACUUGCGCCUGGUAAAUCAUCUAGCCUUCUGGCUAGUGCACUUUGCCGGCUCAGGCCAGCAUCAGUUUGCCGUCGGGGACAAAAGCUUCGGGAACGUGGCUCUCUUCGGGGAGUGUUAUAGCCCGCUGCACAAUACCCUUCGGCGGACUGAGGUACGCGCUCCGCAAGGAUGCUGGCGUAAUGGUCAUCAGCGA
RNAcentral lists this ribosomal RNA (210 nucleotides) under Porosphaerellopsis sporoschismophora. Its description in RNAcentral is "partial large subunit ribosomal RNA". The record is from RNAcentral. Lineage: Eukaryota; Fungi; Ascomycota; Sordariomycetes.